Molecule: long non-coding RNA, 7555 nt
Organism: Numida meleagris (helmeted guineafowl)
Lineage: Eukaryota; Metazoa; Chordata; Aves; Galliformes; Numididae
Exons: 3
Source: RefSeq, a predicted model, not a curated record
AAGGGCUCAGGGAAACCUCGGCCGGCUCCGAGCUGUCGGCACCCCGGCCCCACGCCGAAGCACAGCGGCCGUCACGCUCCUGCUCCUCGUCCUCUCCAUCCCCUACACACGCACAUGCCCACACCACGCACGUUUCGCUACGGCGCCUGGACAUCAGGCGCUGGGUGAGAUCUCAAGCGCUGUUUUCUACCUAGGGAGCAAAUCGGUCAACUGAACUGUGCUUCCCUUGUAUCUCAUUGUGUGCCAGAGUGAACGGUCACUGGUGUCCGCUUCCAGAUGUCCCCGAGUUCUCGCAAGCAACAAAGAAGAAAAACCAGCCUAUGUUUAUAGCUGAGAGAAAUCUUUGGCUGCAGGUCACACCACAGAUGAUGAAAACUAUUUGGCGGCCUGCAAGGGCUGUCAGUGCUGUUGCAGGUCAGCAGCUCAGCAGGAAGACACCGGCUGUUCCUGUUUGCUGGAGGGAUCGCAGCUUCUGAAGAUUCCCUUUUAGACUCAGAGGUUUGUUCACUGCCUUCUUGACGUCUGAUUUCCUGUUUUCUUUGCUGCCUGCUGAGUAGGAAACUUAGGACAGACCUAAGUGGGGAAUAGUUUGCCAUGCUAUUAUACUCUACCAGCAAAAUACGUGAUUUUGUAGCUGUACCUUAAACCUUUAAGCUUCUGCUGGAAGAGUUUAUUCCAGCCUUUCUUGGAUGAAACGCUGUGCUGGCAAAAGUGCAAUUCUGCUGGUAUAAAUUAUUCUGUGCUAGGAGCUUUCGCCAACAUUGCUGUGUUGAUCAGGCAUCAUGCCUCCUUAUACUUCUGCCUGAAAUGGCUGAGUCAGCCCAAGUCUGUAAUGUAGACACGUGGAAUAUUCUAAAGGUCUUCCAGUUAUUUUACUUCAUAGGAAUUAUAAUAAUUACAUAUUAGCGGCCAGGGGCAGAAGAAUAUUUCCAAAGUGGGAGAGAUCCCUUAAUAAUUCAGUAACAAUUAUGAACAAUGUGAUAGUUUUCAAUCUCAAUCUCAACACAAUUCCCUGUAUUUUCUUCCCACUGCCCUGUGGUUCUGGUCAAAUCAGCAGACGUCAGCUACAAUUUAGCAACAAAAAACACAUCAUUCUAAUUUGGAGGGAGGAGUUGGUUUUGUUUUCUCUACCAUGGUUCUAAAAGAGCAUUCUGCACUACUGAUUUUCCAUGACUCGUUUAAAGUUUUUAAUCAGACUUUGUUCAUUAAUUUAUUUUUCUAACCUAUUCUCUUCACUCUUCCUCUCAAACCUCUUGUGUUUUCUAGAAUUCAACAAAACACUGAGCAUGAAUUUUUGGGCUGACAGAAAUUACUUUUCUCAGGAAAGGGUCACACUGGUUUUCUAAUUAUUUCUAUUUCAAAUAAAUUUCCUGUUAACUACAGUUACAGGAAAUAAAUGCAAAUCUGUUGCACACUGGUUUCCUAACUCAAGCACUUUGCAUUCCGCAGCUAAUAAUAGUUGACAAUUUUCAAUUGACAACUUACUUCCUCCCCAGCAUCAUUUAUGGAGAGCGUCAAGGAGAAGACUGUCAGGGAGAGAAAUAAAUGUUUGCAAAGGCAGCCGGCCUGGCCUGACUUCCUGCAAAGCUGCCUUCCUGCAGCCUCUGCGGCGUGGGGUGCCUCCCUCGCUGCCCGGUACAGAUGGUUUCCUGCGAUAGCUCUUCCUGGGCACCACUGCUUGCAGGGUACCAGAGCCACACUUCUUUGUGCAGUGCGGUAGCCGGCAGCUUGAGCUGCUUGUUUCCACCGUGCUUUCCCUUCAUGCUCUGGUAACCCCCUUGCCUCUUUGCUUCUCCAUUGUAACUGAAGGAUAGUAGGACACGUUGCUAUUGCUGCAAGUCUUCACGUCUUUUCUACCAAGAGUUUUGUUCCUCCUCAUGUUCUUGUAGCUUUACAAGCCAAAUAAAAUUUAGUAUGGGACUGCUUGCUUGCUUGCUGCUGUAACAUAAGCAUUAUGGUCAGACAAAAGGCAAUUCCUUAAUUUAACAGCAAAAAUGCUCUCUUCACAACAAUGCAAGCCAUUCUACACUAUUCUCUUUAUGAAAGCCUGGGACUGGCUGGAAGUGGGAGAGAUGUCUCUCUGCCACCAAGCAUAACCAUGAUUAAAAUAUAUCAAAGGGACGUUUGGACUCUGUAACAACAUACAAUGUAACAGAGAUUAUAAAACCACCUUUCAAUGAUAUGCAGUCCACACUUUGCUUUUCAGAUGUCAGUAUCUGGGUUUCCUUGGCUGUUCUUCAGCCAUUUCUUCCACAUGCUUUUCCCAGGGCUGUGGGUUCACGACAACUCUCCAGCGUGUUGUAAUCAAGUCUGUAGGUACUGCUACUGAGAUUGGAGCAGAGCAAUAGCUAUGCUUUUGUUCCUUCAGAUUCAGGAGCGGUACCCACACCCUGUUGUGGCUGAAGGAGGAUCAUCCAGUAGAGAGACAUCGGUACAGUGGGGAAACAUGCCUAAUACCGAACCACAGACAUUUAGGGCUACAAGUCUUGCGCUGACAUUGAAUUUUAUAUUAUUAGUCUUCCCACAAUGAUUUUACAUGUUGAAACAAAAUGUGAGCAUAGAAUAUACAUCCUCAUUUCUGCUUUGAUAGUGCAAAUCUGGUUGAGAUCUUGAUCUGUAGUCUAACUACAUUUAAGAUCCUCAGGUUGCUUUUCAACCCAGCCCAGAUGGACGCAGAGGAUUUUGCCGACAAUGAGAUCCUGAAGAGAAAUGAUUUUGGUAAGGGUGACUUCCGUUAGGUGAAAACCAAACCAUAGAAGCUCUGCAAAACCCUGCACUGGUGAAACUCAAUCGCAGUUCUUUCCACUUGUAUUCUAAACAUCAGGCUCUGCCAAUAGUAGGGGGAAAUAAGAUCAUGUCUAUGAAUAAAUACUAGUAAAUAUAGUGUCUUGACUACCUUGUCAGGAAUAAUUCCUCUUCAGUUGAAGGUUAUCCAGAAAUUCUUAAAUUGCUGACUGUAGAUAUAUAGCUUGAGGGCUUCUUCACUUUCACUUCACUUACAUACACAAGGCAAGCCCAAAUCUAAAAUUUCCCUCAAUUACUUUCAGCACAGAGGAAAAGGAUCUCCACCCCUAUAACAAACUAAAGCUGCAAAGGUGUGCUGUAAUUGAUGCCAGGUGGAUGGCCUUAUCCAUUAACAAAUACUAUCUGGAUGCUUUGCUGGCUCUGAACUAGGUUUGUACCUUCCCAGUCUUUCCUUUUUAGAAGAAAUAAUUGGCUAACAUAUUUACAUAUUGCAAAAAUUGGAGAAAAGAGAGAGCAUCUGACAGUUUUCUACCAAAAUCAAUAUUGUCAGUUCAUCUUGAGGAGAAUGUGUUAUUACAUAUGUUACAGAACUAUUUACCAAGACUAUUUCAGCUUUAAUAAGCUUUGAGGGUUAUCAUGUUACUUCCUAGACAGCUUAGGCAAAAUUGACUCUAUUUUUGUACAGUCCUGGUUUAUACUCCUAAGCUUAAGAGUAACUGCUGCAAUACCUCUUGGGUAAGUAAUAAAACUCCUUGAUCCACAGAAACGAGUUGUGUAUUCCCUACCCUACUGCUGUGCUUCUGCCAUGAGUUGGAGAGAAAUCCUCAUUUAGAAAGACUUCCAAAACAGCUCUUCUGUCAGCGGUCCCUUGCUUAACAGGUCUGCAGACACAAGUAACAGGGCUUUGCCACCUGUCCAGAGGCUGAUUCCACACUUUCAGAAUUUAAAGUGAGUUUAAUCAUGCUCUCAGCUGCACCAUAUUUAACUCAAAUGUAUAAUUCCUUGUGUAUAAGUGCAUAUAUAUCAAUAAUAAAAGGACAACUGUUGCUUUGUGCAACAAAGGUAUUUGGAAGUUUGACAAUUUUUCUCAGCUUGAGCUGGAACAGAAAGUCUAAACCUCAGCUUUUAAAAAAUUGCUAGGAUGUUGAAACAAUUUAAGUAAUUUUGAGACAUCUAUUUUUAAUCACAGCUUUUAAACCUUUUUUUUUGCUAUAAAUUUAUUCAUGUUUAGAAAAUACGGAAAUGAGAUAGCUGGGUAAUUUUUGUGUUGAUUUUGAAUAGGAAGUCCUGCUGGAGUAACUGUUACUAGUUGCUCCCAAAGGAGAUACCAGUAUCAGUAGAUACUGUCAAUAUUUUUGACCUUAACAUUCUAUUGCUUGGAGAUGGUCCACACCACAGCCUCAUGAUCAACACUCCUCUUAAAUCUCAAAGUUCUCACCCAAAGCUCACAGACAACUGCAUCCAUAAGUUUUGUAAGAGCUCCUUGCUACUCUUCUGAAAAGUAAUUUACAUUCGCACACUAAGAAGAAGCCCCAGAAAACCCGAACUAAUUAAACACUAAGGAGAGGUCUCUCCUUGUCAUUCUCUCAAGAUCUUCUCUAGUUCGAUACACCUUAUUAGACCUCUGUCUCACUAAUUUCUGUUUGCUUCCAUAACUAAUUAAAUUGAUGCUGAGCUGGGCAAAAUUCAUAAUCCUGUAGCUAUCUGACCAGUUCAACGUGCAUUUUGCUUUUCUUGCCUGGAUUUCUUGUUCCUAUGGUAUAAAUAUUAUUGACAAACAUAAUCAGGAUUCAUAUUUAAUCAUCUUCUUUCUCCAAGUCAUUUUCCCUUUUGUCUACCUCAAGGAAAAAAAAACCUCAGUCCUGCUAGGCAUUAUUCCAGCAAAGCAGAUAUCAUUCUUCAUGAAAAACCUCAUUUUUCUUCCUUCUAAAGUUUUAAUUUUAUUUGAGCUCAAAUGAUUGCAUGGUUGAUAGACAGAUGGGUAGACAUACACAUGGCCAGAGGGAAGCUAUUAGAGACAAUCUCCUCUGAGCUUUUUUUCUCUUGGUCAACAGUUACCUGAGGCCUAUCAGCUUUUGCCCAUGUUGGCUUAGUGAUGAUAUGGCUCAUAUGUAAACCAGUUCAUCAAAUGUUUGGGAGAUCAUACAUUUCUGGCAGAAAUCAUUAAGUUUGUACGCACAUAUUUAUAAUAUUUCUUAAUUAUUUCAUUCAUUUUAGGUUUCUAACAAGCUGCCCAUUUUCCUUUGCACACCAAAAAUUCCUUCCUUCAAAAUCCAAGCUGGAUUCUUUUAUCACCACAAUAUUUAUUGCUAACUGACCCAUGGAAACUAUUCAGUAUAUAACCCUCUUUUUUUCCUUUGACCACAGUCCAUUUCCCCUGUGUGCAUGUGUUUCUCUCACUCCCUCUAUCUCAUCCCAUCCCAUUAGCUCUCUGUGCUGAAUAGCCUGUUCCAGGACAUCAAACUUUAAUUUAAACAGAAGAUGAUCAAUACGCUUAGCAAAUUGCCCAUGGCAACAUCAGCAGUUUGAAUCAAAGGGUUUUAUAGGUAAUUUAAAGGGCAUUCUCAUUCACUCCCACAAUGUGGUAUAUACCUAUUGCUUGCUUUGCCAAUUACAGCUCAGCUGUCUGAACAAGCGGAGUAAGAGCUUUUUCUCCACACCCAAACUGUGAAAUGGUACGUAGCAGCUACUCUAGGUGGAUAUGAUAGUGUGCCCUGAAACCAAAAAAGGCCGGGCAUCUCAGGAAAAAAAAUCAACAAAGGCUCAUUUAAAAGAAACCAAACUCAUCAGAGCUUAAAAUCAAUAUCAGAACUAAAGAAACAGACAUGUAAAAAGGAAAAGCAUCCAAUCCUCAGUCUAACCCUGUUUUGCUGGUGCUGUACCUUGGGACCAUUGUAUUUUCAUAUGACUGAAGGGAGACUGUAUUUUCACCUGUUUCUGGAGCCUUGCCAGUCUAACUUUUAGAUAUCUUACGUAAAUCCGUGAUGUUUAUGUCAGAGAGAUUGCAGAAGAAAAACUGCUUCUGUAACCCCAGUUUUGAAGACAUCUUAUUUGUACCAAGUGUACACCAACCUGGAUGGUCAUCUUUCAAGUUGCAAAAGCUUUUUUACUAAACUUCUCUUGAGAACAUGAAGAGCUAGUCUGAAUAGACCUGUGAAGGCAAUGAACUUUGGUGAUGGCUAAAGCGAGCUAAUGGCUGUCUGACACAUGGCUUGCUGUUCCAGUGUCUUCCCUUCCUCUUUAGCUUUUGCACUAACAGUAGAUAAAGAUUUAACCAGGGUAUAUACCUACUGCUUUUAUAAAAUUGAGCUAGCAGCUGUCUUUGUUGGAAGAAGAAACCUGCUACUCUAUAUGGGAGAGAGUACAAGAGACGCCAUGAAUACAAGUGUCAGCCAGAGGCCAGCCAGCCUGAGGGGGAAAGCAAAAGGUUCCCAUGAUCUCCUGCAGAGUUCAUGAAAUCUUUUGUUUCAGAGGCUGGUAGUUUCAGUAACCAGAGUGGAUGUAUAGAAAAGGUAUCUACAGAAAAUGGCGGGCUUGGUAUAUAAAUCUAGAAAGUUGUGAUGGUAUGAGAGCAGAGUUUCAUCCACCAUUUAAGUCUGUGACAAGGUGCAAGAUUUGGAUAAUCUAGACCUCCUGAAGGUCCAGCAGAAGGAGCCUGGUAAGACAUUCGCAGCAGAGGAAAUCAACAUCAGACAUACACCAUGGUUUAUCUCUACCCAUUAUCUACUGGGGAAGGCCUCUGGACCAUGUUUCAGAAGCAUAAUCAUAAUGUGCUAUUAUUUGGUAGCAUGUGGGGCCAAUAAGGCUCUUGUAAGAGGAGAUACACAUUUCUAAAGGCGCUUAGCUCCUAGCUGGCUCUAGGUCGGAAAUUACACAAUGGAUUUUGAAAUGUUGGCUUGUUGAAAGUUGUCAUUCAAGUAAUGGAUGUCUUAUUUCCUGUUUUUGCUGAAAGCUAAAGAGAAGCAUAAUUAGCAAGCGAGAAAGCAACCUUGGCAGCCAAACCAAAAAAGCACAGUUUGGGCUCCUGAGCCAAUUAAAAUUGUUUAUGUAACCUAUGAACAAUAUUUUUCUCCACAUCAUUAUAACUGAGAGAAUUCAUCAAAACUCAGUCAGAUUUGCUUGUAAACAACCUGAUCUCUUGUCACACCGUGGGCUAUCAGCUCCCAGGGAAGAACUGAGGGCACCCUGCAAAGUCCAGGACACGUACAAGGAGAAAAAAGAAAAGGUGUGGGACUGAGAGGGGAGGGCCCAACUCCAGACUUUUGGUUCUGGAUGGAUCCCCAACAUUCAGGAAUGACCCCUUCCCUCAGUCUGCUGCUAAUUUUCUAGGGGAAGUAUGGGAAUUCAGAAAGCAAUUGAUGGUGGAAGAUUCCUGACUUUUGAGGUGUCAUUCUCAACAUUUCAGUUGUUUAAUAUUUAUCCAACUUUCACAGUUGUGAAUGGCUCUCACAACUGAAAUAUAUAUUCAUCUUAGAUUACAGAUCUCUUUUUCUGAGCCUCUCUUACAUGUGCAGCAACUGUGUUAUUUCCCUUUUUAUUCUGGAAACUUGCAUUUUAAUAAACCUCUACUAUCUUCCUUUCGAUACUUGAAUCCAUAUCCUGCCUGAUUCCCACAUGGAUGUUCAGAGACUGAGUUUCUCAUGAUGUAAAGUCUGAUGUCUUUUUUUUUUUUUUACCAUAUGUGAGGAAUGGAUUCUUCAGAAAAUCCAAGUGGCUGGACAAAUAUUACUGCUUCUUAGUACAAUGCUCAUCUGCUCCUCUCGUAACAAGUUAUUAUGCUUUUCAUUUGUCUCUGAAUUCUCAUUUUUCA